UUCGAUAACGAACGAGACCUUAACCUGCUAAAUAGCCCGGCCCGCUUUGGCAGGUCGCCGGCUUCUUAGAGGGACUAUCGGCUCAAGCCGAUGGAAGUUUGAGGCAAUAACAGGUUUGUGAUGCCCUUAGAUGUUUUGGGCCGCACGCGCGCUACACUGACAGAGCCAACGAGUUCAUCUCCUUGGCCGGAAGGUCUGGGUAAUCUUGUUAAACUCUGUCGUGCUGGGGAUAGAGCAUUGCAAUUAUUGCUCUUCAACGAGGAAUUCCUAGUAAGCGCAAGUCAUCAGCUACUGCGUUGAUACGUCCCUGCCGUACCUUGGAUG
This 324-nucleotide ribosomal RNA is filed under the name uncultured Acidomyces. RNAcentral describes it as "bacterial SSU rRNA". It matches the Rfam family "Eukaryotic small subunit ribosomal RNA", at positions 1324 to 1659 of the family's 1831-position model. Lineage: Eukaryota; Fungi; Ascomycota; Dothideomycetes. The record is from RNAcentral.